GACUUCUAUUUUCUAAAAGCAACUCUACUGGGAGACUUAUGCUGAGGAAAGUAUGUGGUUAUCAGACUCAGUGCCCACGGUGGAUGACUCUUAAAGUCUUUUUUUCUUCCUUUUCUUCUUUUGUUUUCUUUGUAGAGAAGGGAUCUCGCUUUGUCACCCAGGCUUGAGUGCAGUGGCCUGAUCACGGCUCACUGCACCCUUGACUUCCCGGGCUCAAGCGAUCCUCCCAACUCAGCUUCCCCAAGUAGCUGGAAUACAGGCAUGGCUACCACGACUGACUAAUUUAUUUAUUUAUUUAUUUAUUUUAGAUGGAGUUUCACUCUGUCGCUUAGGCUGGAGUGCAGUGGCACGAUCUCGGCUCUCUGUAACCUCCGCCUCGCGGAUUCAAACGACUCUCCUGUCUCAGCCUCCAGAGUAGCUGGGACUACAGGUGCAUGCCACCACGCCCAGCUAAUUUUUGUAUUUUUAAUACAGACAGAGUUUCACCAUGUUGGCCAGGCUGAUCUCCAACUCCUGACAUCAGGUGAUCCGCCCUUCUCGGCUUCUCAAAGUGCUGGGAUUACAGGUGUGAGCCACUGCCCAUGGCUAAUUUUGUGUGUGUGUGUGUGUGUAGAGAUGAGGUUUUGCCAUGUUGCCCAGGAUGGUCUCGAACUCCUGGGCUCAAGCGAUUUGCCCGCCUCGGCCUCCCAAAGUGCUGGGAUUACAGGGGUGAACCACCAUGCCUGGCUGACUCCUAUUAAUACAUUCCACCAAAACCAUUAUUUUAUAAAAGAUAUUAGCAAAUUUUGAGUUUAUGUGCUUUGGCUAGUUUCUUUACUGCAGAAACUGGCUCCAGCCAAACCUCUGUUUAAUUUAGAAUUCCUUUCUCGGCUUUCCCUUUUUGUACGGCUAAAACUGAGAAUGAUCCACUGCAUAGAGAUGGAAAAUAAGUGAGAUAAGGUUGUGACAUUUUAAUAGCAACUGCUUAAUCACAUAAAUUUUUCGUAAUCUUAACUUUCAGCCUCUGUAUUGUAACUUCUGUCAGCUAAGACUUUUCUGAGAAUAACUCAACAGUUUCAAAAUGUAUUGUCCCAUUCAAAUCUUUGUCAAGAGCAGUACUACCUCUCUCACGAUGUUGUUUCACAUCUGAAAGUUAAAUAAUGCACAAAUAUCACUGCAUCCUCCCAAACCAAAGGGAAAGGGGAGCAUCUGCCAGCUCCACAAGAUCCCAAUUUGAAGUCCCCAAAGCUUUCCUCCAACUAUAUUCUAACUAGUCACAGACACUAAAUCGUAGAACAGAAAUGCACCUUUGAAAAUUUUCAGUUCAACACCUCCAUUGUACAUAUGGGGAAAUCAGGACAUAGGUUGUCAGAUUUGACACCAACAAACAACACUGUGGACAAGACAAAUCUCCAAUCUCCAGGAUCUAUUGGUAUACCCAAAUAGCUUCGCCUUCCUUCAAAAUUUUACCACCUUAUCACUUGACGUUAGGAGUUCGAGGCCAGCCUCACCAAUACCCAUGUCUACUAAAAACACAAAAAAAUAGCUGGGCAUAGUGUAAUCCCAGCUACAGGUAAAGACAUGAGAAUCGCUUGAACCUGGGAAGCAGAGGUUGCAGUGAGCCGAGAUCGCCCCACUGCACUCCAGCCUGGGUGACAGAGCGAGACUCCGUCUCAAAAAAACACAAAACUACCACCUUAGCCCCCAACCUACUUUUCCACGCAUCUUUCUCGUUAUCCUUUAAACAGAUUAUUUCUCAGCCAAACAAACGUCGCUCUUUUUCUAGGUACAGCUUUCUUCUUGCUUCCACACCUAUGUCAGAACAGUUAUAGCCUCUUUAUCCUCCCUUACCACUUAAAUCCUACCCAUCCUUUAGAUUUAUCCCCGUUUUCCAAACAAUUCCUAUUGGCUCAAACAUUCUGCUUCGGAAGCCCUAUUCUGACUUGGCAGGCCUAUGGCAGUCUGUUAACUUGACUUUCCGCUUCGUGAGAGGCUUAGGCUCGGAUAACCCGUUAGUAACCAUGCAGAGGUGAGGACCCAAAGACAGGAACACUAGAAAGCAGAAACUAUCCUAAGAGCCCACCGAAUUUCCGCUUACAUGAGUAACCGAGACAACCGUCAGAUGCGCGUGCGCACAGGCCCCGUUCCCAGAGCUCCCCUCGCCCUACGAGGGCCCGGCGGGCCAAAACAGAGGCCCGCCCCGCCCCACCCCACGCCUCACCGCGAAGUAGCCCAGCCCCAGGACUGUGACCAGAGAGGGCAAGGGUCUUGCUGGACGGAAAUAGGCGGUAGCCGCAUUGCUGGCCUCCGACUUCACCAUCCUCUUGAAAAACCCAGACACAGAGUUGGCUGGGAGCUCCCCAGCCGUCCCCGCCCCCAUAUAAGAAAAGCCUGGCUAGCCGGUUUCUCAGGGCCCUGGGCGCCCGCCCAAGACCCUGGCGGACCAGUAUGCUUGCUCUCAUUGCGGAGUCUGGUCCCCUCCCCUCCGCUCCUAGCGCGCGGGAGUCGGGAUUGUGCUUGCACGACUUCCCCCGGCCCGCGGCCUGUGAGCCCAGGUCCUGGGGUGAACCGAGCGCUCGCUCGUUCGUCAGACCGUAGCGCUCCAGCGGCUGUCCUUACUGUGUAGUAGCCAAAGCUGAGGGUGAUGACUGUGAACCAGAACAGACUGCCUCGCUGAAAGUAGGUCGCGCCGGCUGCCGUAGCCAUGGCUGCAACACCUCCCCGGGAGCGCGCUUCAGGACACCGUCGAGCGCGAGCGCGGAGGCAGGGCCGGGGCCGGCCCGCGCUCCCUCGCCAUCCCCGCAGGGAGAAGAUGGUGCUGGUUGGGAAGUCCCUGAGAGCGAGUCUCCCUGUCUGGCCCCAGUACAGGGGCCUUGGAAUCACACCUGGGCUCAGAGUCACUUGGAACUCUUCUGUGGCAUCUGAAGCAGAUGGACGAAGCCAAGAGGGCCGAGAGUAUCUCAGCACCUAGAAAUGGACAAGGCUGGUUAUUAGAACAAAGAUUUCGCAGGUGAGGCAAGAAUCUGCAUCAAAGAG
This 3015-nucleotide long non-coding RNA is filed under the name Homo sapiens (human). RNAcentral describes it as "non-protein coding TMEM254-AS1:1". Lineage: Eukaryota; Metazoa; Chordata; Mammalia; Primates; Hominidae. The record is from RNAcentral.